RNAcentral lists this ribosomal RNA (728 nucleotides) under uncultured Serratia sp. RNAcentral's name for it is "bacterial SSU rRNA". It matches the Rfam family "Bacterial small subunit ribosomal RNA", at positions 771 to 1498 of the family's 1533-position model. The record is from RNAcentral. Lineage: Bacteria; Pseudomonadati; Pseudomonadota; Gammaproteobacteria; Enterobacterales; Yersiniaceae.
AACCGGAUUAGAUACCCUGGUAGUUCCACGCUGUAAACGAUGUUCGAUUUGGAGGUUGUGCCCUUGAGGCGUGGCUUCCGGAGCUAACGCGUUAAAUCGACCGCCUGGGGAGUACGGCCGCAAGGUUAAAACUCAAACGAAUUGACGGGGGCCCGCACAAGCGGUGGAGCAUGUGGUUUAAUUCGAUGCAACGCGAAGAACCUUACCUACUCUUGACAUCCAGAGAACUUUCCAGAGAUGGAUUGGUGCCUUCGGGAACUCUGAGACAGGUGCUGCAUGGCUGUCGUCAGCUCGUGUUGUGAAAUGUUGGGUUAAGUCCCGCAACGAGCGCAACCCUUAUCCUUUGUUGCCAGCGGUUCGGCCGGGAACUCAAAGGAGACUGCCAGUGAUAAACUGGAGGAAGGUGGGGAUGACGUCAAGUCAUCAUGGCCCUUACGAGUAGGGCUACACACGUGCUACAAUGGCGUAUACAAAGAGAAGCGACCUCGCGAGAGCAAGCGGACCUCAUAAAGUACGUCGUAGUCCGGAUUGGAGUCUGCAACUCGACUCCAUGAAGUCGGAAUCGCUAGUAAUCGUAGAUCAGAAUGCUACGGUGAAUACGUUCCCGGGCCUUGUACACACCGCCCGUCACACCAUGGGAGUGGGUUGCAAAAGAAGUAGUAGCUUAACCUUCGGGAGGGCGCUUACCACUUUGUGAUUCAUGACUGGGGUAAAGUCGUAACAAGGUA